Pelobates cultripes (western spadefoot toad) is the source of this 325-nucleotide non-coding RNA. NCBI's taxonomy places the organism in Eukaryota, Metazoa, Chordata, Amphibia, Anura, Pelobatidae. The record is from the annotation of a GenBank genome assembly.
GCUGCUUUGCAGAUGACCUCUGGAGAAGCAAGCGCCCUUUCUGCCCAUGAGGUAGCCAUAGCUCGGGUGGAAUGGGCCUUAAGGGCAAGUGGAGCCUGAAGACCUUCUGUGGAGUAUGCCAAUUCUAUAGCUUGAAUGAGCCAAAGGGAUAAGGUGCCGCGGGAAGCCACAUUUCCCUUGAAAAUUAACAAACAGAUGAUCCGAAAUUCUGAAUUCUUUUGUUCUGGCAAGGUAUAUAAGUAAAGCUCUUCUGACGUCCAACUUCUGCCAUUUGAGCUCCUGAGGAGAUGAGGCUUCACUACAAAACGAAUGCAAAAUAAUCGGC